Long non-coding RNA from Morone saxatilis (striped sea-bass), 284 nucleotides. RefSeq lists it as uncharacterized. The transcript has 3 exons. NCBI's taxonomy places the organism in Eukaryota, Metazoa, Chordata, Actinopteri, Moronidae. The record is from RefSeq and is a predicted model, not a curated record.
ACAGCCUCCAUAGGAACCACUGAGCUGCUUCCACUGUGUGUUACACUGGUGAGUCCAGCAGGUGGCACCCUCUGGGUUCUGUACUGAACUGUCUUUACUUUCACUUUGGUCGAUGGCGCAGUAAGAAUCUACUGCUGUUUUUGAAACCGGCUGUUGGUUUCCAGCUGAGCUUCUUCUGGUGUCUCCACACAGUGACAGUAUGGCAGCUGCUGCAGAAUCUGAAGGGAGUAACAAAGUGAGGCCUCUGAGCCACAGCCACAGCUAUCAGUUUCUUCCCCCUACCA